This 460-nucleotide ribosomal RNA is filed under the name uncultured bacterium. RNAcentral describes it as "partial 16S ribosomal RNA". It matches the Rfam family "Bacterial small subunit ribosomal RNA", at positions 338 to 795 of the family's 1533-position model. The record is from RNAcentral.
CCUACGGGAGGCAGCAGUGAGGAAUAUUGGUCAAUGGGCUUACGCCUGAACCAGCCAAGUCGCGUGAGGGAAGACUGCCCUAUGGGUUGUAAACCUCUUUUGUCAGGGAGCAACGCCGGCUACGUGUAGCCGGACUGAGAGUACCUGAAGAAAAAGCAUCGGCUAACUCCGUGCCAGCAGCCGCGGUAAUACGGAGGAUGCGAGCGUUAUCCGGAUUUAUUGGGUUUAAAGGGUGCGUAGGCGGAAUGCCAAGUCAGCGGUAAAAUCGCGGGGCUCAACCACGCUCCGCCGUUGAAACUGGCGGUCUUGAGUGGGCGAGAAGUAUGCGGAAUGCGGGGUGUAGCGGUGAAAUGCAUAGAUAUCACGCAGAACUCCGAUUGCGAAGGCAGCAUACCGGCGCCCAACUGACGCUGAAGCACGAAAGCGUGGGUAUCGAACAGGAUUAGAUACCCCAGUAGUC